UGGCUCUCGCAUCGAUGAAGAACGCAGCGAAAUGCGAUAAGUAAUGUGAAUUGCAGAAUUCAGUGAAUCAUCGAAUCUUUGAACGCACCUUGCGCCCUUUGGCUAUUCCGAAGGGCAUGCCUGUUUGAGUAUCAUGAACACCUCAACUCUCAUGGUCUGCCAUGAUGAGCUUGGACUUUGGGGGUCUUGCUGGCGUAACCGCCGGCUCCUCUCAAAUGAAUCAGCUUGCCAGUGUUUGGUGGCGUCACAGGUGUGAUAACUAUCUACGCUUGUGGUCUUCCAUCAGGUUACCUUCAGUAAUGGAGGUUCGCUGGAGCUCACAGACGUCUCUCCUCUGGGAGGACAGCUUUUUAAAAGUUUGAUCUCAAAUCAGGUAGGACUACCCGCUGA
This 390-nucleotide unclassified non-coding RNA is filed under the name uncultured fungus. RNAcentral's name for it is "partial contains 5.8S ribosomal RNA and internal transcribed spacer 2". The stretch from base 1 to 134 matches the Rfam family "5.8S ribosomal RNA", at positions 22 to 154 of the family's 154-position model. Lineage: Eukaryota; Fungi. The record is from RNAcentral.